CCGCGGGAUUAGAGUUUGAUCCUGGCUCAGCCUGAACGCUGGCGGCGUGGCUAAGACAUGCAAGUCGAACGGUGUAGCAAUACACAGUGGCGAACGGGUGAGUAAUGUAUCGCUAACGUACCCUUAUGUCAGGGAUAGCCGGGGGAAACUCCGGGUAAUACCUGAUGAAAUUCCUUUUUCGCAUGGAAAAGGACUCAAAGGAGCAAUCCGCAAAAGGAGCGGGCGAUAUCGUAUCAGCUAGUUGGUGAGGUAACGGCUCACCAAGGCGACGACGCGUAGCCGGGCUGAGAGGUCGGCCGGCCACAUUGGGACUGAGACACUGCCCAGACUCCUACGGGGGGCUGCAGUAACGAAUCUUCCGCAAUGCACGCAAGUGUGACGGAGCGACGCCGCGUGUGGGACGAAGUCCUUCGGGAUGUAAACCACUGUCAGGGGUAAGAAAGUUCUGAUCUACCCCAGAGGAAGGCACGGCUAACUCUGUGCCAGCAGCCGCGGUAAGACAGAGGUGCCGAGCGUUAGGCGGAAUCACUGGGCUUAAAGCGUGUGUAGGCGGAUCGUUAAGUACCUUGUGAAAUCCCACGGCUCAACCGUGGAACGGCUGGGUAUACUGGCGAUCUUGAGCGAUCUAGGGGCAGAUGGAACAAGUGGUGGAGCGGUGAAAUGCGUAGAUAUCACUUGGAACGCCAAAGGUGAAGACAGUCUGCUGGGGAUCUGCUGACGCUGAGACACGAAAGCCAGGGGAGCGAACGGGAUUAGAUACCCCGGUAGUCCUGGCCCUAAACGAUGUCGACUAGAUCGCGGGACCUCUGACGGUUUCGCGGUCGAAGCAAAAGUGCUAAGUCGACCGCCUGGGAAGUACGGUCG
This 864-nucleotide ribosomal RNA is filed under the name uncultured bacterium. Its description in RNAcentral is "bacterial SSU rRNA". It matches the Rfam family "Bacterial small subunit ribosomal RNA", at positions 1 to 888 of the family's 1533-position model. The record is from RNAcentral.